UGUGAUACUCAUCGCUAUUUGCUUCAAUUUCCCCUAACGAAUGGUUGGCGGCAAUAAUUUUUGUAAUUGCUUAGCAUAUUUCUAUAUAACUAUUCAAUUUUUGAACCAUAAGUAUGUACAACAAGUAAAGGCUUCUAAGAAGUUACUCCCACAGUCCAUAUUAAGUGUGGCUCUUAUGGAGGUAUUUAGGCAUAUUUUAGUGUUAGAUACAUCAGUUUGUGCGAUACUUAAUAUGAAACGGAGGGAAUAUUAGUUAAUAAAAAUCGGGACGUGCACACUUUUUAUCCUGAUGCUUGAACGCCAUGGACUGUUGCCUGUACGUUGUUGCACUUAUUUUUUUCCCACCACAGCAACAUAAAUUGUAGUUAUCAUGUCGGGUUGUCUUUAUUUUUCAUCACAUAGGUACGUAAGGUUGGAACUUGGAGGUUGUCCGUGAGGACUCUCCUUUUUUUACACGUCAUUGAGGACUCUUACAUCUACAUGAUCCUUUAAUCUUUAUUACAACUGUUACAGUGAUUGGCGAUUUUAGGGACCGUCCAUUCGCUGCGAUCAAACGGUGGAGAAAUAGGAGUUACAGGAGUUAUGGGAGUAAAAUUACAUGAAAUUACAAAUAAUUGUGGGACCAUUACAAGAUUAUGGUGAGGCUAAUCAUUUUCUAAAAGGGUAGAUCCGUCCAAUUUAGUGUGCAUCGCUGGGAGAAAAGGAAAAAAAAACCUCUGCACGCUUCGUCCCCAAUCUAUCGAUCCCCUCUCCGCUUGCCUCCUCCUCUCCCGGGUCGCUCGCCGCCGGCUCAGCCGCUUCUUCUGCGCCUUCUCCUCCCCGCUCCCCAGACCGGCAUCCAGCGCAGGAGGAUCCGGGUGGUCAUGGUGGCGGCAUCUUUAGCGGCCUCGCCGGAUUGUUAGCCUCCUCAAUCCCCUCACACAGGCGCCGCCGCCAAGCCUGCCCUCGACCGUGUUGCUGCCGGCGUCCCUCCUGUCGCUCGUGCCGCCGCGGCCACUGACCCUCGCACAGCCGCAGCCGCAACCGCCUGCUCUUCUCUGCUGCCCCAGUGCCCCGAGCAUCGCCCCGUCGAAUAGGUGCUCCACAAGGCAGCGCCUCCUCCCUGGAUCAGCCACUGACGGCCAUCAACGCCGGCGACCCAAUCCAUAGGAAGGUAACCCCGGGGCUUAAUCUUCCGCUGCCGCUGCAGCCGAGGACAGCCCUGUUUUUUAUGUACAUCCUCUGACCCGUUAUCCUGCGCAGUCGUCCGCUGUGGCCGAGGACGGAGAAGGUCCCGUGUCUAUAACUGUCGCUAGCUGUCCUGUCAAGCUUCCCGCCCACUACGAGUAUCCCUCCCAGCCCCUGCGCCGCUGUCUGCCUUCGACGAUUCCGCACGCCUGUAGGCGACAGUGGAACAAAUUCAGACAUUCAAAGAUAUCCGUCCGUCAGAAUAUUCAGGUGUCAGAGAUGUCAUUCUCACGCAACAGUCACCUACACCUAUGUUUGAAUCGGCUUAAGGAUGCUGCGAACGACAUCUCCGACAUGCUUGAAGAUUUUGAAGAUGAAACCGACUUCAACCUGGUGUGCAAGAUUAUGUCGAUUUGUGAAGUAGAUCUGAACCUCACUGUUGGAGUUGAUCUUUGAGUCGAUGUUAAGUAAAAGCUGCUUCUACUUGUUGAUGCCAAGACCACCUUUAGUGGGCAGCCACGAUGAAGAAGAUUAAGAUGCCACGUAAGAUGAGAUCGAUGCAAAAGCGCCUACAAAAGAUGGACCGUGAUAGUUAUGGUGUUCAGCCAGAAACUCGCUGCGAGGAGCGGCAAGUUCCUGACAUCCGGGAAACAGCAGGAUAUGUGGAGGAGGCAGAAAUCAUCUGGAGGGCUGAUGACGAAAGGAAAAUCUUGGAUUGCAUAUCUGGGAGCAAUAGUUAUUUCCCUCUGCUUUCGAUCACAGUGAUUGGAGUCAGUAAGUAGUGAUUAGAGUCAGUAGGAGAGGCUGGCAUUUGACAAUACAGUUCAGUGUGUGCAUUGACUGCCGGUGCUGCAGCCUGAAAAUUUUCUUGUGGAGUGGACCGAAGUAAUCCAUCGAGCUAGCUGCAUUAUUGAUUCUGUCCUUUUUGCUGGCGAGGUAAUAAUCUCCCACUCAACUCGUGAUGUGAGAGAUAGUAGUGUAACCAUGAUAUUUACAUCAUUGCUCAUGUGUUCUAUAUGCUAUGAUUUUUCUUCCUUAAUUACCCUGCCUCAGCUGUAAUCAUCAUCCACUUAAACCAGAAUUGCAUACUUACGCAGUGUAUGGCGCCGUAUAGAAUGGGGAGCAUGCGUUUGUAAGUAGUCACUUAUGAUAGUGUUUUAAAUGUAAGAUACUCCGAUGCAGAUAGGUUUGUAUUAGAUGGUGCAAAUGAUAGAAGUGGAACAUGCAGCUCAUUAGCUGGGUUUUUUUUAAAGAACCAAUGAAAAGACAAGCAUUUGGAUGGACAUAAGCGUACAAAUAAUAUGAAAAAACAUCAGAACAUAAGUGCAGUCUUUCAUUAAAGAACAUGCUAUGAAGAUCAAUCAUUUGGAACUUCCCUUGAAGUGCCUCUCUGUGUAGCCCAUUCAUGGCUGUACGAAUGGGCUGGACACGGCGUUUGAUGGUUUGCGCUUGCAUCUUUUCAACUCCACUUUUUUAGCGAUAGUCUCGGUGUCAAAUUGUUGUUUCACUGGAUUACUAGCAGGGGCAUUCUUCCUCGGGCGUCCACGUUUACGCUUUGGGGCACCGGAUGUCUCUGGUUUGUUUGUAACAUCAGGGUUGAUGACAAUCGUGGCAUCGUCGUCUGCACCUUUUCGUUCCUCUGGAAUGCUGGCUUCGUACUCGUCCUUUUGUAGAGGAAAUAGUGGUGUGUUACAUGCAAUCAUGAAAGGUAGGAACUAGAUGACAUGAAGUGCUAGUUGUGUAGAACUUACCGCUAUAGGAUCCUUGUACGAUUUUUUUCCGAAGCUUGUUGCAAUCUGAAUGCAGCAGGCUUGAACAUAUUUUCCAGCUGAAAAUAUGUAUUAGUGCCUGAAUUAGAUAGCGACGCAUAGGUUAGGAUAGCGGUGAAGCAUAGGUAGUGCAUGAUUGCAAAGGUAAUUUAGUGUUUGGUAGACCUGUGUGAAAUCCUUGGUAAUUUUAUCUCUGUCCCAUGUCAACAUGUAUCUGAGUGUGUACGCCCCGCAGGAAUACCUGUGAUGUAAAGUUGAAGAUAAGUAUUGUAGUGUAGGUGAGGAAUCAUAUAGCUGCCUAUACGUACCCAUCCAUCUGUUGUGGUAUGUUAGUAUAGGAAGUGGUUUUCCACUGGGUAAUAUUGAUGGGUUUAGGCGGUGUUACCAAGCCAUCCUCGACCGCUUCGUUGAUACACGCCUGAAUGGAUUCCACCUGGUGUACGAGGAGUAAUUCAAGGGAUGUCUUGGUCCAACUCCUUAUUUUGCACCACGGAUUUUAUAGGUGUUCCAGCAGAAGUCCAUCCUUUCUAUGCGUCAAACCCAGGAGUUGAUGAAAACUUGCCAUUCCUGGUUGCUCUUGUUCCUAAAAUUAGAAGUUGGUCAAUGAACAGAAAUUAGCUCAUGUUAGCAAGGUGAUGGGCCAUAGUUAUCACCUGUACGUAUGCAUUCUUCGUCGUUGAUUGUUUGUUUGUUUGAACCACAGAUCUUAAUUCCUGUAACAUGAAAUGCAUAGAAUCAAAAUAUAGGAAGUUAUGGGUAAAAUUGAUGUUGUAGUGUCACUUACCUGGAGUUCCCUUUUGAGGUCUCCAACUUCGUCCUCCAGCUUGGACAACCUAGGUUGAGUGGCAAUUUUACCCCUUAUGUUUAUCAAGUUCUCGGCGAGGGUGAUUAUUCUUUUAUCUAAUUUGUGCUCUACUUCUACUACUUGUUUGACCAACUUUUUCUCUUGUUCUGCAAAUAGAUCGUUCUAGGUUUGAAGUAUCAUGUCCAUCUGUGUACAAGAAAUGUCAACUCGUCGGAGAGACACUGACUUCAUCUUUGUUAGCCCUCCAAGACCAGUUUUAGUGCAGAUGGCCUUUUGGUGCUUGUCAUCUAAUCGAUCAAUUAUUUCCGCAAACCUUAUCGAUGAGCACAUUAACCUCAUAUUUGCAUGUUUCACACUGAGUUCGUCCAAAAAAGCCUGAAAUACAUGUGAAGGUAAAAGAACUAUGUGUUUUCAAAGAUUUUAAUCUAACUGGGAAUAAUAUACCUGAUUGGUUACGUCUGGUAGUGGUAAUUGUGUGUCGGCACAACUUUUAGAAGAACUGGCCAUUCCUGGAAAAUAUGCACAAACAGAGACUGGGUCAAUUCAGAGAAUAAACAUAAGCUAUGGGGUUCUACCAUACUAUAAUUGUUCCACCUGUUUCUUACGGAGCACAAAAUUACUAUGAUAAGCUAUUUAAUUUAAUUACUUCUUUGUUACUAUACCGCUCGAGAGGUGAAUGUUUACGACACAGAUGUAUGUGUUCUUUAUUUUGUCAAUCUGGGUUUAUAGCCCUAUUAUGUGCACACAUUUGAUUCUAUUUAUUUGAAGGGAUUAUAAUUUA
This is a long non-coding RNA of Aegilops tauschii subsp. strangulata, 4522 nucleotides long. RefSeq lists it as uncharacterized. NCBI's taxonomy places the organism in Eukaryota, Viridiplantae, Streptophyta, Magnoliopsida, Poales, Poaceae. The record is from RefSeq and is a predicted model, not a curated record.